RNAcentral lists this ribosomal RNA (371 nucleotides) under uncultured organism. RNAcentral describes it as "partial 16S ribosomal RNA". It matches the Rfam family "Bacterial small subunit ribosomal RNA", at positions 527 to 896 of the family's 1533-position model. The record is from RNAcentral.
GAAGGGGGCUAGCGUUGUUCGGAAUUACUGGGCGUAAAGCGCGCGUAGGCGGGUUCUUAAGUCAGGGGUGAAAUCCCGAGGCUCAACCUCGGAACUGCCUUUGAUACUGAGAGCCUAGAGUCCGGGAGAGGUGAGUGGAACUCCUAGUGUAGAGGUGAAAUUCGUAGAUAUUAGGAAGAACACCAGUGGCGAAGGCGGCUCACUGGCCCAGUACUGACGCUGAGGCGCGAAAGCGUGGGGAGCAAACAGGAUUAGAUACCCUGGUAGUCCACGCCGUAAACGAUGGAUGCCCAGCUGUCGGGCAGUAUACUGUUCGGUGGCGCAGUUAACGCAUUAAGCAUCCCCGCCUGGGGAGUACGGCCGCAAGAUUA